GCUCCUCAAGAUACCCCAGUACGAUUCGCAGAUCUUGUUAUGGAUACAUGAAUAUAACUCACCCAAGUAGUAAAACGAGAAUGGACAAUAGAAAGGCCAGAAAUCCAGGAUGUUGUGAGGGUUUAUAAUCCCUGAUUGGACGACAGGCGAGCCAGAGCUCAGUGCCAGGAAUCACGCACGCCAAAAUACAGGAGACCCCGAGAAGCGAGAGGAAGCCGACCUCCAUAUGCAUGGACUGGAACAUUUUGAUAUAAAUUUACGUUUAUAUCUGGAUAUUCAGGAUCAACAUAUGUCGUUGAGGGAAAAACUAUUUGUCGAGGGUUUUUUGCUUCUGAUGGUAA
Molecule: long non-coding RNA, 341 nt
Organism: Diachasmimorpha longicaudata
Lineage: Eukaryota; Metazoa; Arthropoda; Insecta; Hymenoptera; Braconidae
Exons: 3
Source: RefSeq, a predicted model, not a curated record